Molecule: ribosomal RNA, 585 nt
Filed under: Acinetobacter baumannii OIFC032
Lineage: Bacteria; Pseudomonadati; Pseudomonadota; Gammaproteobacteria; Moraxellales; Moraxellaceae
Description: bacterial SSU rRNA
Rfam family: Bacterial small subunit ribosomal RNA
Source: RNAcentral
AUUGAACGCUGGCGGCGGGCUUAACACAUGCAAGUCGAGCGGGGGAAGGUAGCUUGCUACUGGACCUAGCGGCGGACGGGUGAGUAAUGCUUAGGAAUCUGCCUAUUAGUGGGGGACAACAUCUCGAAAGGGAUGCUAAUACCGCAUACGUCCUACGGGAGAAAGCAGGGGAUCUUCGGACCUUGCGCUAAUAGAUGAGCCUAAGUCGGAUUAGCUAGUUGGUGGGGUAAAGGCCUACCAAGGCGACGAUCUGUAGCGGGUCUGAGAGGAUGAUCCGCCACACUGGGACUGAGACACGGCCCAGACUCCUACGGGAGGCAGCAGUGGGGAAUAUUGGACAAUGGGGGGAACCCUGAUCCAGCCAUGCCGCGUGUGUGAAGAAGGCCUUAUGGUUGUAAAGCACUUUAAGCGAGGAGGAGGCUACUUUAGUUAAUACCUAGAGAUAGUGGACGUUACUCGCAGAAUAAGCACCGGCUAACUCUGUGCCAGCAGCCGCGGUAAUACAGAGGGUGCGAGCGUUAAUCGGAUUUACUGGGCGUAAAGCGUGCGUAGGCGGCUUAUUAAGUCGGAUGUGAAAUCCCCGAG